GUUAUAUGGUCAAGUGAAGAAGCGCAUACCAGGUGGCCAUUGGCCUUGGCUUGGCAGCAGGCGAUGAAAGACGUGGUAGCCUGCGAAAAGCUUCGGGGAGUCGGCAAACAGACUUU
This 116-nucleotide ribosomal RNA is filed under the name Pseudomonas aeruginosa VRFPA06. Its description in RNAcentral is "partial 23S ribosomal RNA". Lineage: Bacteria; Pseudomonadati; Pseudomonadota; Gammaproteobacteria; Pseudomonadales; Pseudomonadaceae. The record is from RNAcentral.